Molecule: transfer RNA, 78 nt
Filed under: Opitutia bacterium
Lineage: Bacteria; Pseudomonadati; Verrucomicrobiota; Opitutia
Also listed under: 2 other names
Description: tRNA-Pro
Rfam family: tRNA
About the family: Transfer RNA (tRNA) molecules are approximately 80 nucleotides in length. Their secondary structure includes four short double-helical elements and three loops (D, anti-codon, and T loops).
Source: RNAcentral
CGGGAUGUAGCGUAGUCUGGUUAGCGCGCCUGCUUUGGGAGCAGGAGGCCGUGAGUUCGAAUCUCACCAUCCCGACCA